GAUUUCUGCGCUUGACGGCUUAUUGUUGAAACCGCAACAGACCGUCACGGACAACACGUCURCGUAUCAUUCCUGUGCAGCAGCAGCAGCGACGACGUACACACCUCAACUCGACAUCCAUAUAUCACCGACCGCAGCCUUCGCAGAUUCUCGAUACCCGAUCCGACUUCGCAGAUUGCCGYCCGUCCGUAAUAAUAAGAGAACUAACCAUGUCCUCUAGCUGCACGUCGAAAACUACCGACUACUACUACCAGAUGAGGCAGAAGAACAACGAGGCGGCUAGAAACAGCCGUUUCAAGAAGAAGGUUGCUGAAAUCGAAAUAUCCGUUCAAAAGCGCAAGUUGGAGGUGACAUACGUGCAGUUGAAGAAGGAGAUCAAACGCAUACAAAUCGUAAAAGCUUCUUAAACAUCAAUCAGGCUUUUCCCGUGAUCAUGGUUGCAAUAUGAACAAAAAAAUUUUUUUCAACUGAAAAUUUUAAGUAAAAUAAAUUAUGCAAAUGGAUUCUGUUGAAUUUCUAGUCAAAUACAUUGUACAACACUCAAUAGUUUGACUGUAAUUUCUACAGGAAUGAAAUACAAAUAUAAAAUUUUUACUACCAAUAUCUAUUAUGUAAAAGACAAUAUUU
Diuraphis noxia (Russian wheat aphid) is the source of this 627-nucleotide long non-coding RNA. RefSeq lists it as uncharacterized. NCBI's taxonomy places the organism in Eukaryota, Metazoa, Arthropoda, Insecta, Hemiptera, Aphididae. The record is from RefSeq and is a predicted model, not a curated record.